RNAcentral lists this ribosomal RNA (505 nucleotides) under uncultured bacterium. Its description in RNAcentral is "partial 16S ribosomal RNA". It matches the Rfam family "Bacterial small subunit ribosomal RNA", at positions 28 to 507 of the family's 1533-position model. The record is from RNAcentral.
GACGAACGCUGGCGGCGUGCCUAAUACAUGCAAGUAGAACGCACAGUUUAUACCGUAGCUUGCUACACCAUAGACUGUGAGUUGCGAACGGGUGAGUAACGCGUAGGUAACCUGCCUGGUAGCGGGGGAUAACUAUUGGAAACGAUAGCUAAUAUCGCAUAAUAUUAAUUAUUGCAUGAUAAUUAAUUGAAAGGUGCAAUUGCACCACUACCAGAUGGACCUGCGUUGUAUUAGCUAGUAGGUGAGGUAACGGCUCACCUAGGCGACGAUACAUAGCCGACCUGAGAGAGUGAUAGGCCACACUGGGACUGAGACACGGCCCAGACUCCUACGGGAGGCAGCAGUAGGGAAUCUUCGGCAAUGGACGAAAGUCUGACCGAGCAACGCCGCGUGAGUGAAGAAGGUUUUCGGAUCGUAAAGCUCUGUUGUAAGAGAAGAACGGGUGUGAGAGUGGAAAGUUCACACUGUGACGGUAUCUUACCAGAAAGGGACGGCUAACUACGUG